GCUGACACAUCCCGGCCAAUCUCCAGCAGACCCUCCCUCCCAGACCCUCCUACUUCCUGGACAGCAUCCAUGUUGAAGCUGCCUUUAACAUGGAUGCUGUCCAGGAAGUAGGAGGGUCUGGGAGGGAGGGUCUGCUGGAGAUUGGCCGGGAUGUGUCAG
This 159-nucleotide microRNA precursor is filed under the name Pelobates cultripes (western spadefoot toad). The record is from RNAcentral. Lineage: Eukaryota; Metazoa; Chordata; Amphibia; Anura; Pelobatidae.